Molecule: ribosomal RNA, 143 nt
Filed under: uncultured eukaryote
Lineage: Eukaryota
Description: partial 18S ribosomal RNA
Rfam family: Eukaryotic small subunit ribosomal RNA
Source: RNAcentral
UGGUGGAGUGAUUUGUCUGGUUAAUUCCGAUAACGAACGAGACUCUAGCCUGCUAAAUAGACGGGGCAAUCCUUAGUGGUUGACCCGAUCGCUUCUUAGAGGGACAAGUGGCGUUCCUAGCCACGCGAAAUUGAGCAAUAACA